UGUGGGAGCGAGCCUGCUCGCGAUGACGAUAUAUCAGCUUGCAGAUGUGUGACUGAUACACCGCUAUCGCGAGCAGGCUCGCUCCCACA
RNAcentral lists this unclassified non-coding RNA (89 nucleotides) under Pseudomonas corrugata. Lineage: Bacteria; Pseudomonadati; Pseudomonadota; Gammaproteobacteria; Pseudomonadales; Pseudomonadaceae. The record is from RNAcentral.